GUUGUUCAGCAGGGCAGCCUGAGAGGCCCUCAAUGGGCCCAUCCUCCAGACGUGCAUGGAAAUCUGCCAUGCCAUGUUGGCAGUCCUAAUAUAACACCCUGCAUCAACAAGGCAGGAGAGGAAGCCCUUUGCAGAGCCACGGGUCUGCACGGUGCAUGUCCUGUAGAGUGAAGUCUUCUGCUCAUGCUGGCAAACCCACUUUGAAGUGUCACAAGGCUUAUUCGUGCAAGAUGAUGCCUCUGCAGGAAGGCAGCAGCUGUGAUAAGUGGAGGUGUGUGUGCUACUUCCACUGGCGGGGAAAGGUAGGGAAUAACCUGUCACCUUUUUUUCAGAUUCAUCCAGAGGUUCUGCGUAUCAUGAAAGAAUCCAGUUAUGGGCAAAAAAUACUAUUAUAAAAAGCAAUGUCACAGACCUUCUGAGGUUCAUCAGAAACCUGGAUGAACACCCCGAUGAAAGGAUCAGUGAAAUAACAGGGGACUAUGCUAAGUAUUUCCUGACGAAAUUUCCAGCACUGACCAUUUAUGUCUACAACCGUUUGCGCCAGCAGUCCCGAAUACAGCCACUUUGUAGACAUUCAGGAUCCUCCUCUGUAGGAGGCUGUUGCCUCACGUCCCAUGGCUGAUCCCCACUUGCUCUGCCUCCUUUUGUUCCCUAUUUCUUCAGCUGAAAAAAAGAGUUGAAGAAAUUGGGUAAAGAGACAGGAGAGAGCACAUGCAGAGAGCAAGGAGAUGUGGGACAGGCCCCAUAUUCCCAAUCCAUGCAAGAGGCAGAAGAGCUCAGGUAUUGCCAACCAGGGACUCUGAAGGAGUUUCCCUAGCAGGGAGCUCUACAGAUAGCACUUAUGAGCCACACGGGUACCACUAUCGAGACUUGAAUUCCCUCCUUCCACUCCUUGAACGCAGCAGCCAGAAGCAGAGAUGCUGUUGGUGCCCGGCCCUGCCGUUCAUACACAGCAGCCCAGAGCUCUGCUACUGGGGCUGAGCAGCACAAACCCAUUUCUGGAGCCCGGUGGCAUCCUGCUGGCCCAAGGGACUUGUUUGUUUCUCUGCCAGCAGUUCCCGCGGGGCUGCACAAUGAUCAUAUAUUGCUUAUGGAAAUGUUUUCCAGCUGUUGAAAUGAUUUUUUUUUAACUGAUUAUUGUUCUUUGUGUUAGCCUAUGAAGAACCAAACGGAGAAUAAAUUUGGAAAAAUGUUUUCUACAUAUUUAUGAAUGAGGUCCCCAUCUCUACCUGAGAGAGAGCUCUGCUGGGUGCUGAAGGCUUCCUCUCCCUGGAAGCAUACGGUCUCUUGUGAAAUGGGCUGGAUAGUGGAUUUUUAAUUUAUUUAUUUAAUUUUUGCUUUGUUUUACUCCUGUGGAGCGAGGGUGAGGAUCUCAUGGAUGAGCAGAUGUGCAAAGCUGAGCAUCAGCGCCUACGUGUGUGCCGAACUCAGGGUGGAUGUGUUUGCUCCAUCUCAUUGACAAGCGAGUGGCUGUCAGGAUGCAUUGUGGAGCUCUGCAUCCCUUUAGCUGUGCGUGCUUGUAUUUUUAUGCAGCUGCAAACCAGCAGGCAGGGCUGUGCCAUGGGCUGGGCUCCUUGAGAGCAUUAUAAAAAUUCCACAUUGUCAGCCUGCUGCAACCUUUGUGCCCU
This 1628-nucleotide long non-coding RNA is filed under the name Anas platyrhynchos (mallard). RNAcentral describes it as "lncRNA (ENSAPLG00020009710.1)". The record is from RNAcentral. Lineage: Eukaryota; Metazoa; Chordata; Aves; Anseriformes; Anatidae.